GCCCGCAUGGCUCAGUGGUAGAGCGUGUCACUAGUAAUGACAAGGUCACCAGUUCGAUUCUGGUUGUGGGCA
This 72-nucleotide transfer RNA is filed under the name Thermothelomyces hinnuleus. Its description in RNAcentral is "tRNA-Thr". It matches the Rfam family "tRNA". From Rfam's summary of the family: Transfer RNA (tRNA) molecules are approximately 80 nucleotides in length. Their secondary structure includes four short double-helical elements and three loops (D, anti-codon, and T loops). The record is from RNAcentral. Lineage: Eukaryota; Fungi; Ascomycota; Sordariomycetes; Sordariales; Chaetomiaceae. RNAcentral also lists the same sequence under 3 other names.